GCAAAUAUGCUGGAAUCGGUAAACAGGUCUCACUUAAGAUGAGGUGUCAUAAUGGCUUGUGAGUUCAAGUCUCACUAUUUGUA
This 83-nucleotide transfer RNA is filed under the name Rhodanobacter glycinis. RNAcentral describes it as "tRNA-Leu". It matches the Rfam family "tRNA". From Rfam's summary of the family: Transfer RNA (tRNA) molecules are approximately 80 nucleotides in length. Their secondary structure includes four short double-helical elements and three loops (D, anti-codon, and T loops). Further hydrogen bonds mediate the characteristic L-shaped molecular structure. tRNAs have two regions of fundamental functional importance: the anti-codon, which is responsible for specific mRNA codon recognition, and the 3' end, to which the tRNAs corresponding amino acid is attached (by aminoacyl-tRNA synthetases). tRNAs cope with the degeneracy of the genetic code in two manners: having more than one tRNA (with a specific anti-codon) for a particular amino acid; and 'wobble' base-pairing, i.e. permitting non-standard base-pairing at the 3rd anti-codon position. The record is from RNAcentral. Lineage: Bacteria; Pseudomonadati; Pseudomonadota; Gammaproteobacteria; Lysobacterales; Rhodanobacteraceae.